This 1367-nucleotide long non-coding RNA is filed under the name Mus musculus (house mouse). RNAcentral describes it as "long non-coding RNA chr5:150460645-150462012". The record is from RNAcentral. Lineage: Eukaryota; Metazoa; Chordata; Mammalia; Rodentia; Muridae.
AAAAAAAAAAAAAAAACUUCCUGUGGACCUAGCAUGAAGGGUCAGAUGCCCUGUGCGGGCCAUGUGGAGCAGUGUCGGGCAUGCAGCUGACAUUCUCUGUGCCAGCCAUCAGACAAUCCCACCAGUGGCAAAUAGCUCGUGACAAAGCCAGUGAUGUAAACAUACUCUGGCUUCUUCGUCAAACAUGAUUGCCAAAACAAAAACAAAGAAACAAAGUCUCAAGUUAAUUUGGGCAUCUGAGUAAGCUCUUCGUCACAGCUCUUGCCCUUGGAGUUUGCAGGAUCUUUUAAAGGGGCUAUAUCCCCGCGGUGCUAGAUCAUGACCGCACUGUUAGCUUUGGAAGUGGGACCAACGGAUGCCCCUCUCUGACCCUCUUUUCUCUCCCAUGAUAUUUAAACAUUUCCUCACAAACAAGGGUUCAGACAUUCUAAAUAAAUAGGUGUUAAGGAGAACAAUGUUGUUGCUGAAGUAGGAAGCUGCUUCCGCACGUGGGCUCCUGACAUCACUUCAGCCUCAUCUUCUGCCAGGAAGACAAGCAGGAACUCUGAGAGCAAAUAGUGAUGCUUUUUUCCCUUGGAGUUCAGGCAUGUUUUCCUUCUUUUGUAAGAGUUGUGUCUACUGAAGAAUAUGUUGCUAGCACUGUUGUUGUGUGAAAACUAAAAUGCACUGGGGUGUUUUAUACAUUAUAUCAUUUUAAAUAGAACUUUUGUUUGUUUUUCUGUCCAUUCAAACUGCUCCCCCAGGAACUUCAGGUAAGACGAUGUUACUCUUACUUAAUUCUGGUGCACAGGCAGGUGCAUUGUAUCUUUGUGUAGUUCUAUAACAACCGGAGCGCUUCACCUUCCCUCCAGCACGUCUGCCUAUCUGUGUGUAGACUUCUUCUUAAGUGUUUGAUAGAUGAGGGUUUGUUUUUUUUCGGGGGUCGGGGGGAAGGAGGAUUGUUUGUUCGUUGUUUUUUGGUUUGGUUUGGUUUUGCCCUGCCCCUCCCCCUUGGCUGCUCUAGUAUCGAAAUAUCUUCUAAAAUAUAAAAAUGCUUUCGUAUCCUUAGUUCUGGAAGUUGCAUGGUUGCAUCUCUUGAGAGGAGAUAAGUCUUUGACUGUGGUCUAGGGGUAGGCACCGUACUGCCUCCUAUGAAUGGGUUUUGUUGCCCUGUAAAUGGUGAAGGAAAUCAGGCUGAGGAUGUACCUAAGUGGUACAGUGUCUAGGUAGCAGGAAUUGAGGCCCUGAGUUCCAGCCCCAGUACUCCUGGAAAAACAAAAAUCAAAAACAAACAAAACAAAAACCACUUUCUUUUCUAAAAAUCCAAAGCUAUCGCUCUGUGUCUGGCAACUAGAUAAGUUAAUUUUCAUCCAAACCAGGUGCUCUGC